RNAcentral lists this ribosomal RNA (550 nucleotides) under uncultured bacterium. RNAcentral describes it as "bacterial SSU rRNA". It matches the Rfam family "Bacterial small subunit ribosomal RNA", at positions 15 to 563 of the family's 1533-position model. The record is from RNAcentral.
GAUCCUGGCUCAGGACGAACGCUGGCGGCGCGCCUAACACAUGCAAGUCGAACGGAACGAAUUUCUAGAAGUUUACGGAUGGAAGGGAAUAAGUUUAGUGGCGGACGGGUGAGUAACGCGUGAGUAACCUGCCUUUUAGAGGGGGAUAACGUUUAGAAAUGAACGCUAAUACCGCAUAACAUAUAAGUUUCGCAUGGAACUGAUAUCAAAGGAGAAAUCCGCUAAAAGAUGGACUCGCGUCCAAUUAGCUAGUUGGUAGGGUAAAGGCCUACCAAGGCGACGAUUGGUAGCCGGACUGAGAGGUUGACCGGCCACAUUGGGACUGAGACACGGCCCAGACUCCUACGGGAGGCAGCAGUGGGGAAUAUUGCACAAUGGGGGGAACCCUGAUGCAGCGACGCCGCGUGGGUGAAGGAGUGCUUCGGCAUGUAAAGCCCUAUCGGCAGGGAAGAAGCAAGACGGUACCUGACUAAGAAGCCCCGGCUAACUACGUGCCAGCAGCCGCGGUAAUACGUAGGGGGCGAGCGUUAUCCGGAUUCACUGGGUGUAA